RNAcentral lists this ribosomal RNA (23 nucleotides) under Brassica nigra (black mustard). The record is from RNAcentral. Lineage: Eukaryota; Viridiplantae; Streptophyta; Magnoliopsida; Brassicales; Brassicaceae.
GGGAAGUCCUCGAUUUUGCCCCC